GGGACAAGCCCUGGAAACGGGGUCUAAUACCGGAUACUGAUCGCCUUGGGCAUCCUUGGUGAUCGAAAGCUCCGGCGGUGCAGGAUGAGCCCGCGGCCUAUCAGCUUGUUGGUGAGGUAAUGGCUCACCAAGGCGACGACGGGUAGCCGGCCUGAGAGGGCGACCGGCCACACUGGGACUGAGACACGGCCCAGACUCCUACGGGAGGCAGCAGUGGGGAAUAUUGCACAAUGGGCGAAAGCCUGAUGCAGCGACGCCGCGUGAGGGAUGACGGCCUUCGGGUUGUAAACCUCUUUCAGCAGGGAAGAAGCGAAAGUGACGGUACCUGCAGAAGAAGCGCCGGCUAACUACGUGCCAGCAGCCGCGGUAAUACGUAGGGCGCGAGCGUUGUCCGGAAUUAUUGGGCGUAAAGAGCUCGUAGGCGGCUUGUCGCGUCGGUUGUGAAAGCCCGGGGCUUAACCCCGGGUCUGCAGUCGAUACGGGCAGGCUAGAGUUCGGUAGGGGAGAUCGGAAUUCCUGGUGUAGCGGUGAAAUGCGCAGAUAUCAGGAGGAACACCGGUGGCGAAGGCGGAUCUCUGGGCCGAUACUGACGCUGAGGAGCGAAAGCGUGGGGAGCGAACAGGAUUAGAUACCCUGGUAGUCCACGCCGUAAACGGUGGGCACUAGGUGUGGGCGACAUUCCACGUCGUCCGUGCCGCAGCUAACGCAUUAAGUGCCCCGCCUGGGGAGUACGGCCGCAAGGCUAAAACUC
Molecule: ribosomal RNA, 751 nt
Filed under: Streptomyces cellulosae
Lineage: Bacteria; Bacillati; Actinomycetota; Actinomycetes; Kitasatosporales; Streptomycetaceae
Description: bacterial SSU rRNA
Rfam family: Bacterial small subunit ribosomal RNA
Source: RNAcentral